GAUGAACCUGAAUAUCUGAAUUGAGAAAUUCAAUAUUGUUAUUUCGAUGACGGUAUGCACUUUUCUCAUAGUAGGACAUUGCGAUCCAUUAGUAGUCUUUUUGAGACGGUUUAUCAAACGGCUCGUGAGCAAGUUUAACCUAUCUGCAAUAUUUAUAUUGUAUGGUUAAGGCUGUACGAUGUCCUGGUAAACAGCUGAUGGAACUUUAAAAUCAUGCAACCAUGCAUAUGUAUCACGGUCUGAAUAUAUUUAUAUAAUUGGAUGCAGUGAUCGCAUGUAUUUGAUUAGCAAUGCGAUAGAUUUGGGAUACCUUCGGGACCCGUCUUGAAACACGGACCAAGAAGUCUAACAUGUGUGUAAGUCAUUGGGUAUUUUAUUGAAACCUAAAGGCGUAAUUAAAAUAACUAUUUUAAUGGGAUUACAAGCAAUCAUUAACGAUUGUUUCUCCAUCCCGGGGCGUUCUAUAUGAACAUGGUUUAAGCAAUUAGACCCUCUGUUCGAGAGCGUACCUUGAACAUACAUGCUGUGACCC
Molecule: ribosomal RNA, 532 nt
Filed under: Tetragoneura ambigua
Lineage: Eukaryota; Metazoa; Arthropoda; Insecta; Diptera; Mycetophilidae
Description: eukaryotic LSU rRNA
Rfam family: Eukaryotic large subunit ribosomal RNA
Source: RNAcentral